GACGAACGCUGGCGGCGUGCUUAACACAUGCAAGUCGAACGGAAAGGCCCUGCUUGCAGGGUACUCGAGUGGCGAACGGGUGAGUAACACGUGGGUGAUCUGCCCUGCACUUCGGGAUAAGCCUGGGAAACUGGGUCUAAUACCGGAUAGGAGCCAUUUUUAGUGUGAUGGUUGGAAAGUUUUUUCGGUGUAGGAUGAGCUCGCGGCCUAUCAGCUUGUUGGUGGGGUAAUGGCCUACCAAGGCGGCGACGGGUAGCCGGCCUGAGAGGGUGGACGGCCACAUUGGGACUGAAAUACGGCCCAGACUCCUACGGGAGGCAGCAGUGGGGAAUAUUGCACAAUGGGCGCAAGCCUGAUGCAGCGACGCCGCGUGGGGGAUGACGGCCUUCGGGUUGUAAACUCCUUUCGCUAGGGACGAAGCUUUUUGUGACGGUACCUAGAUAAGAAGCACCGGCUAACUACGUG
This 465-nucleotide ribosomal RNA is filed under the name uncultured bacterium. RNAcentral's name for it is "partial 16S ribosomal RNA". It matches the Rfam family "Bacterial small subunit ribosomal RNA", at positions 28 to 507 of the family's 1533-position model. The record is from RNAcentral.